GCAAGUCGAGCGCACUCUUCGGAGUGAGCGGCGGACGGGUUAGUAACGCGUGGGAACAUACCCUUUUCUACGGAAUAGCCUCGGGAAACUGAGAGUAAUACCGUAUAAGCCCUUCGGGGGAAAGAUUUAUCGGGAAAGGAUGGGCCCGCGUUAGAUUAGAUAGUUGGUGGGGUAACGGCCUACAAAGUCUACGAUCUAUAGAUGGUUUUAGAGGACGAGC
This 220-nucleotide ribosomal RNA is filed under the name uncultured bacterium. RNAcentral describes it as "partial 16S ribosomal RNA". It matches the Rfam family "Bacterial small subunit ribosomal RNA", at positions 57 to 305 of the family's 1533-position model. The record is from RNAcentral.